Molecule: long non-coding RNA, 3296 nt
Filed under: Homo sapiens (human)
Lineage: Eukaryota; Metazoa; Chordata; Mammalia; Primates; Hominidae
Description: non-protein coding lnc-FAM84B-8:5
Source: RNAcentral
AAAAAAAAAAAAAAAAAAAAAGAAAGAAAGAAAGAAAAAGAAAUCACUUAUACCUGGUUAUUCAGGCUCUCCAGGAUGUCCUGCCCCUCACCCUCGCCCCACCUGCCUUUUCCACCUCCACCCACACCACCAGCCACCUUGAGAUUCUGACGUAGUAGAUUUGGGGCAGGGCCCAGAUUUUAACAACCUUCUCCUUCCCAGGCUUCCCUAGGAGUGAAAAAAUUUAGAAAGUAGCCAGGUGUGGUAAGUAGCACUCGCCUGUAGUGAUAGCUACUCUGGAGGCUGAGGUGGGAGGAUUGCUUGAGCCUGGGAGGUCCAGGCUGCAGUGAGACAUGAUUGUGCCACUGUACUCCAGCCUGGAUGACAGAGUGAGACCCUGUCUCAAAAUAAAUAAAUAAAUAAAUAAGAAAAAGAAAACCAGAAAACAGGCUCUCCUCACUUUGUAAGGCACUGUAUUCAUGGAAACUCAUUUGUGUCAGAACCGUGUCCUCAUUUUUCAUGGUUCCAUGGUAACCAAGGUGAGGUCUCAGUUAACAUGAGAUAUACUAUCACAUUGAGAAAAAAAGAAAAAAAGAACCAUACAAAGCAAGGACUGCCUGUUUACACAUGUGCACACACACAUGAAAAACCACAGUCUAUAAUUCAACAGAAAAUUCAUCAAGUACAGUGCAAGGUGGCUGUCAGAAGACAAAGAUGCAGAAGGAGCUGGAGUUAGUUGGGAAGGGCUUCCUGGCAGAAGCUAGUUUUGAUCAGAGUUUUAAAAGGUUGGAAGAACUCGGGCUGUCAGAAAAGUCACAGGGGAAUGUUGGGUGUUAUUUUAUUUCAGGAUUCUGAUACCUACUCUACCACUUGCUGGCUAUGCCAUCUUCACCUACUUGCACCUGUUUUCUCUUCUGUGGAUAGGUGAUCAUACAUCCCAGUUUGCCUGGGAACACCUAGACCUAAUCAACCGCAGGAGCCACUUGCACUCUCAAAGGUGGCCUGGUUUGUAUUAAAAACACUGGGGGGCCUGGCGCAGUGGCUCACGCCUGUUAUCCCGGCACUUUGGGAGGUUGAGGCGGGUGGAUCAUGAGGUCAGGAGUUCGAGACCAGCCUGGCCAACAUAGUGAAACCCCGUCUCUACUAAAAAUACAAAAAUUAGCCGGGCAUGGUGGCAGGCACCUGUAGUCCCAGCUACUCGGGAGGCUGAGGCAGGAGAAUUGCUUGAAACCGGAAGGCAGAGGUUGCAGUGAGCUGAGAUCGCGCCACUGCACUCCAGCCUGGGCGAAAGAGCGAAACUCCAUCUUAAAAAAAUAAAUAAAAAAUAAAAAUAAAAAUAAAAACAUUGGGAUUGUCUUUAUGUUUUACUUUAUUUAUUUACUUUUUGAGACAGAGUCUUGCUCUGUCACCCAGGCUGGAGUGCAGUGGCAUGAUCGGCUCACUGGAACCUCCACCUCCUGGGUUCAAGUGAUUCUCGUGCCACAGCCACCCGAAUAGCUGGGACUACAGGCAUGUGCCAUCACACCUGGCUAAUUUUUUUGUACUUUUGAUAGAGAUAGGGUUUUGCCAUGUUGGCCAGGCUGGUCUUGAAAUCCUGACCUCAAGUGAUCAGCCCGCCUUGGCCUCCAAAAGUGUUGGGACUACAGGUGUGAGCCACUGCUCCCAGCCUACUUUUCACUUUCCAAAUAUUAAGUUAUAACAUCAUAUUAAAUAUGCAUUUCAAAUGGCAAUUUCUCUGGAGAUUCUGAUACUCAACUAUCUUAUGGUGGGGCAUUCUCUGAAUAGAGAACCACCUGACUGGGGCACCACUGAGUCAUUUCCAGGCAAUUCAGCCUAAGGUUUUACAGCAAGGACUCUGGAAUCAGAUCGAGCUGGGAUUAUACCUAAAGACCACCACUGUGAGCUAUGUGACCUUGACAUUCAUUUACAACUGCCCCUUUCCCAAUUUGGACAGCCAGUUUUCUCAUUAAUGCAAUUAAGCUGAUAGUAAUGCACCAUCUGUAGAAUUGUUCAGCUGAUUAGAUGGUAUAUAAAAUCCUUAGCACAAAACCUUUCAUAAAAUAGUAAUUUCUUAAAUGACAGUUUUGGUCGGGCCUGGUGGCUCACGCCUGUAAUUCCAGCACUUUGGGAGACCAAGGCGGGUGGAUCAUCUGAGGUCAGGAGUUGGAGACCAGCCUGGCCAACAUGAUGAAACCCCAUCUCUAGUAAAAAUACAAAAAUUAGCCGGGCAUGGUGGUGGGCGCCUGUAAUCCCAGCUACUUAAGAGGCUGAGGCAAGAGAAUCGCAUGAACCCGGGAGGCGGAGGUUGCGGUGAGCCGAGAUCGCGCCACUGCAUUCCAACUUGGUGAUAGAGCGAGACUCUGUCUCAAAAAAAAAAAAAAAAAAAAAAAAAGGCAGUUUUUUAAAAAAUCUGAGAAUUGUGUUUAAACUGCACAGAGUUUAUUUGGGUUUGAUACUUCGAGACAGUAAGAGUGGAGACACUAUAGUGUGUAGACCACCCUAUCAGCUGUGUUGCGAGUGGGGGCUGAUCUCCAGUACAAACUAUCCCCAAAUUAGAUAGUGAAAGAACAAAAUAUGCAGCCAUUGACUGAAAAGAUGCAACUACCCAGGGUUUGGUUGUAUGUAUACCCUGUUAUGACUUGCAGUGUUUCUGUCUCUGUGCCAUUUUUUUUUUAAAGGUUGUUGCCUCAGAGCAAGACAGCAUGAAAUUGUGGGGAAAAUUUAAAGCAUGCUUCAUCCUUCAUGGCUUUUUAGUUGCAAGAAGCAGAAGCUCCUACUGGCUAAUUUAGAGGAAUUUUCUAGAAGGGUGUUGGAGAGCUCUAGAACUGAUGGAGAUAGGGAAGCCAGGGUAGAGACAGGUUUGACCCAGGCAGCGCCAAGUGUUUAGAGAGCUGGAUGACUCAGUCACUCCAGGGACAGGCACCAGAAGAGAUGUGCUCUGUUUAGGGUCAUUCCAGUUAAGUAAGAUUCAAAGUCUGGCCGGGUGCAGUGGUUCACGCCUGUAAUCCCAGCACUUUGGGAGGCCAAGGCGGUCAGAUCACACAGUCAAGAGAUCGAGACCAUCCUGGCCAACAUGGUGAAACCCCGUUUCUACUAAAAAUGCAAAACUUAGCUGGGCAUAGUGGCAUGCACCUGUAGUCCCAGCUAUUUGGGAGGCUGAGGCAUGAGAAUCACUUGAACCUGGGAGGUGGAGGUUGCAAUGAGCCGAGAUCAUGCCACUGCACUCCAGCCUGGAGACAGGGCGAGACUCCAUCUCAAAAAAACACAAAACAAAACAAAACAAAACCAAAAACCAAAAAAAAACAAAAAAACAAAAA